This 421-nucleotide ribosomal RNA is filed under the name uncultured bacterium. RNAcentral describes it as "partial 16S ribosomal RNA". It matches the Rfam family "Bacterial small subunit ribosomal RNA", at positions 360 to 773 of the family's 1533-position model. The record is from RNAcentral.
AAUAUUGGACAAUGGGGGCAACCCUGAUCCAGCCAUGCCGCGUGUGUGAAGAAGGUCUUCGGAUUGUAAAGCACUUUAAGUUGGGAGGAAGGGCUUUAGGUUUAUACCCUGAAGAUUUGCCGUUACCAUCCGUAUAAGCACCGGCUAUCUCUGUGCCAGCAGCCGCGUUAAGCCAGAUGGUGCAAGCGUUAAUCGGCAUUACUGGGCGUAAAGCGGGGGUAGGUGGGUCAGUAAGAUGGGUGAGAAAUCCCCGGGAUUAACCUGGGAACUGCUUUCAUAACUACUGGGCUAGAGUACGGUAGAGGGUAGUGGAAUUUCCUGUGUAGCGGUGGAAUGCGUAGAUAUAGGAAGGAACACCAGUGACGAAGGCGACUACCUGGACUGAUACUGACACUGAGGUGCGAAAGCGUGGGGAGCAAAC